Molecule: long non-coding RNA, 877 nt
Organism: Hypanus sabinus (Atlantic stingray)
Lineage: Eukaryota; Metazoa; Chordata; Chondrichthyes; Myliobatiformes; Dasyatidae
Exons: 2
Source: RefSeq, a predicted model, not a curated record
AAGCGGCUGCGCGUGCGCGGUGCCGGGGGAGGCCGGGGCUGCAAGGCUGCGGUUGCUAACCCGGUUGGAAGCGUGUGGUGUGUUAAAAGGAGAAUACUCAGCGGCGGCUACGCAGACGUGACGGAAGGGCCGCUCCAGUGACGCAGUUGCUGCUGUCUGCUCUCAGUGCCUCUCCUCUCCCAUCCCCAAGAACUGUUGGCAGCUUUAUUGGUUACUGUGAAUUGCCUCAACUAUGCAGGUUUGGAAGAGGACCAGAAGAAAUUGAAGAACCAUAUUGAGGAAGUGUGCUAAGUUGAACUGCAUCACAAGUUUGAAGAAUGCUUGGUUUAAUUGUGCAAGGAUAAAUCAAGUAUGCCACUGAGUAGCUCAAAAUAUUCCCCUGCUCCCUCCUUCAGUUGUGGGCAAGAUAAGGAUGACCACUUCUUUGAAUGUAGCUGGACUAAAGUAUGAUCAUUGAGGUAUUAUUGAGGAGAGGGAUUCUUUAAGAGAGUUUGGUCAGAGUUUCAGAUGAUACUUUAAAAAUAUAUUAUUUGCAAAAUCUGUAGUAGUGUUUAACUAAAUGCAAUAUUUCUUGAUUUUACAAACUGCAAAAGAAUGUUCACUGCCCAGUUGUGACGAACCAGUUUUAGUUAUUUCAGUAUUGGUAAUUUUCAGUCAGUACCUUUGUCAGCCUUUCAUUUACUUUUCUUCCAUUAUUGGAAGUAUAUUGCAAAUCACAAUUACAAAUCUUUCUUGAUUCUCAUUUUUCUGUCUCCAAGCUUGUAAAUCAACUUGGCAUAUAUGAGCUAUUUUUUAAUAGCACAUUCCCUCCAAAAUGUAGUAUAUGGUGAUAUAUACUGUAUGAACUUUGAAAAUAAAUUUACUUUUAACUUUGAAA